UUUUAAUGUGUGGUUAUUUUGAUGAAGAAAUUUCGUUUGCCUAUCUUAAUUUCUUUGGUUUCUGAUGUACAUGAAGUUAUAUGUGAUUUGCUGACCCUGACUCCUCAGAUGGUUGGUCAUCUUUUCUUUUUUCCCCUUAGAAACACAGGUAAACUCCAGCAUUCAGGAUUGCAUACCUGUACACCAUCCAGAAGUUGCCCUUUCCAUUGAUGUUUACCAUAAUGUGCAAAACUGGAUCAAGACCCAAGGAUUCUUGGUCGUUGGACGAAAAACCUUGACUGAGUUGAGGGAUAAGAUAUACUGUUUAACAGAUAAGGUGAUGGAAAAAGAUGGCCAGCAUAAUCAUUCAAGAUGUUUCCUCAUAGAAGUAAGAAGUUGAAUCCAUUUAAUGGUUAGUUUCAAAUGAAGAUGGUCUUUCCACUUAAUCCUAGUAAAUUGCUUAUCCUAUGUAGGAUAGAUUCUACAAAGAUCUGAGGAUUCCUUCUGCAUUAUAUUAUAGUCGAUCUGUAUAUGAUUGGCUUAGAAAUUUAAGAGAUGAUGCUCUAAAAAACUAAAAGUGGAGUGUGUUUUAGCUGGAAAAUUGCAAAAGAAGGAAAAAAGCAGUUGUAUGCAACAUAACUGGCUCAAAAUUGCAUCUGUUCGAAGCUGAUGAUAUGCACAAGACACAGUUUUGCAACUUGAAAUUUCAACCUGCUGAUAUGUCACCAGGGUGACUACAGACACACAGUUGUGAUUAGAGACAUAAGGUUGCUUCAUCCAGAGGAUAUACAGAACAGGGCAGCUUAUCAAUUACUCUUAUUCCAAUUGAAGCUACACGUACAGAAAUAUAAAGUGUGUCGGAUGUAUAGUGCAACAAAGUUGACUGUCAAUGACAAUUGGAUUGCGGAGAAUCCCUGCUACUUCUCCGAUAAUUGCUACUUCCUUGUCAAUGUAAUCUGAAAACCAAAUGU
Rosa chinensis is the source of this 950-nucleotide long non-coding RNA. RefSeq lists it as uncharacterized. NCBI's taxonomy places the organism in Eukaryota, Viridiplantae, Streptophyta, Magnoliopsida, Rosales, Rosaceae. The record is from RefSeq and is a predicted model, not a curated record. The transcript has 3 exons.